UGAGUACGAGCGGCUACGGCCGCGAAGUGGAUGAUGUCAAGCUUCCAAGAAAAGCCCUAUACCCGUUAAGGCAUGAUGGCCUGUACCCGAAACCGACACAGGUGGGGUGGUAGAGAAUACCGAGGGGCGCGAGGUAACUCUCUCUAAGGAACUCGGCAAAAUGGCCCCGUAACUUCGGGAGAAGGGGUGCCACCGCGAGGUGGUCGCAGUGAAGAGGCCCAGGCGACUGUUUACCAAAAACACAGGUCUCCGCUAAGUCGCAAGACGAUGUAUGGGGGCUGACGCCUGCCCAGUGCCGGAAGGUUAAGGAAGCUGGUCAGCGCAAGCGAAGCUGGCGACUGAAGCCCCGGUGAACGGCGGCCGUAACAAUAACGGUCCUAAGGUAGCGAAAUUCCUUGUCGGGUAAGUUCCGACCCGCACGAAAGGCGUAACGAUCUGGGCGCUGUCUCGGAGAGAGGCUCGGCGAAAUAGAAUUGUCUGUGAAGAUGCGGACUACGUGCACCCGGACAGAAAAGACCCUAUGAAGCUUUACUGUAGCUUGGUAUUGUGCUCGGGCUCGGAAUGCGCAGGAUAGGUGGGAGGCUUUGAUCCAUUGCUUGCGGGUGAUGGUGAGCCACUGGUGAGAUACCACUCUUUCCGAGCUAGAGUUCUAACAGCAACCCGUUAUCCGGGUGCUGGACAGUAUCAGGUGGGCAGUUUGACUGGGGCGGUCGCCUCCUAAAAGGUAACGGAGGCGCGCAAAGGUCUGCUCAGGCUGGUUGGAAAUCAGCCGACGAGUGUAAAAGCAGAAGCAGGCUUGACUGUGAGACCUACAAGUCGAACAGGGAGGAAACUCGGCUUUAGUGAUCCGACGGUUCUGCGUGGAAGGGCCGUCGCUCAACGGAUAAAAGUUACUCUAAGGAUAACAGGCUGAUCUCCCCCAAGAGUUCACAUCGACGGGGAGGUUUGGCACCUCGAUGUCGGCUCAUCGCAACCUGGGGCUGAAGUCGGUCCCAAGGGUUGGGCUGUUCGCCCAUUAAAGCGGUACGCGAGCUGGGUUCAGAACGUCGUGAGACAGUUCGGUCCAUAUCCGGUGCACGCGCAGGAAUAUUGAGAGGAUUUCUCCCUAGUACGAGAGGACCGGGAGGAACGCACCUCUGGUGUGCCAGUUAUCGUGCCAACGGUAAACGCUGGGUAGCCAUGUGCGGAGUGGAUAACCGCUGAAAGCAUCUAAGUGGGAAGCCCACCUCAAGAUGAGUAUUCCCAUGGCAUAAGCCAGUAAGGUCACGGGAAGAACACCCGUUGAUAGGCUCUACGUGGAAGCGCAGUAAUGUGUGAAGCGGAGGAGUACUAAUAGACCGAGGGCUUGAC
RNAcentral lists this ribosomal RNA (1350 nucleotides) under metagenome. Its description in RNAcentral is "bacterial LSU rRNA". It matches the Rfam family "Bacterial large subunit ribosomal RNA", at positions 1564 to 2925 of the family's 2925-position model. The record is from RNAcentral.